GCAGUCGUGGCCAAGUGGUUAAGGCGAUGAACUAGAAAUCCAUUGGGGUUCGAAAACUGUCGACUGCG
This 68-nucleotide transfer RNA is filed under the name Ixodes scapularis (black-legged tick). It matches the Rfam family "tRNA". Rfam says of the family: Transfer RNA (tRNA) molecules are approximately 80 nucleotides in length. Their secondary structure includes four short double-helical elements and three loops (D, anti-codon, and T loops). The record is from Rfam by way of RNAcentral. Lineage: Eukaryota; Metazoa; Arthropoda; Arachnida; Ixodida; Ixodidae.